RNAcentral lists this ribosomal RNA (429 nucleotides) under Chloroflexota bacterium. Its description in RNAcentral is "Chloroflexi bacterium partial 16S ribosomal RNA". It matches the Rfam family "Bacterial small subunit ribosomal RNA", at positions 355 to 776 of the family's 1533-position model. RNAcentral also lists the same sequence under 1 other name. Lineage: Bacteria; Bacillati; Chloroflexota. The record is from RNAcentral.
UGGGGAAUAUUGCACAAUGGGCGCAAGCCUGAUGCAGCCAUGCCGCGUGUAUGAAGAAGGCCUUCGGGUUGUAAAGUACUUUCAGCGGGGAGGAAGGGAGUAAAGUUAAUACCUUUGCUCAUUGACGUUACCCGCAGAAGAAGCACCGGCUAACUCCGUGCCAGCAGCCGCGGUAAUACGGAGGGUGCAAGCGUUAAUCGGAAUUACUGGGCGUAAAGCGCACGCAGGCGGUUUGUUAAGUCAGAUGUGAAAUCCCCGGGCUCAACCUGGGAACUGCAUCUGAUACUGGCAAGCUUGAGUCUCGUAGAGGGGGGUAGAAUUCCAGGUGUAGCGGUGAAAUGCGUAGAGAUCUGGAGGAAUACCGGUGGCGAAGGCGGCCCCCUGGACGAAGACUGACGCUCAGGUGCGAAAGCGUGUGGAGCAAACAGG